CGAAAGCCUGACGGAGCAAGACCGCGUGUGGGAGGAAGGCCUACUGGUUGUAAACCACUUUUGACCGGGAAGAACACAAUGACGGUACCGGUCGAAUCAGCCUCGGCUAACUCCGUGCCAGCAGCCGCGGUAAUACGGAGGAGGCAAGCGUUAUCCGGAAUUAUUGGGCGUAAAGCGUCCGUAGGUGGAUGUUCAAGUCAGUUGUUAAAGCGUGGAGCUUAACUCCAUAAGGGCAAUUGAAACUGAGCGUCUAGAGUGCGAUAGGGGCAAGGGGAAUUCCCAGUGUAGCGGUGAAAUGCGUAGAUAUUGGGAAGAACAUCGGUGGCGAAAGCGCCUUGCUGGGUCUGCACUGACACUGAGGGACGAAAGC
This 370-nucleotide ribosomal RNA is filed under the name uncultured cyanobacterium. RNAcentral's name for it is "bacterial SSU rRNA". It matches the Rfam family "Bacterial small subunit ribosomal RNA", at positions 376 to 760 of the family's 1533-position model. The record is from RNAcentral. Lineage: Bacteria; Bacillati; Cyanobacteriota.